CGGAAAAGUCUCCGAAUUGGGCCGAGGUUUUGGCUAGCCCCCCAUUGUCAGACGUCCCGAGCGCGUUCCCGAAGUCGGAAUCGGCAAAGGUGAGCCGAGACAGCCUUCUUCCUCCGCCCAGCCGCCACAGUGAUUGUCGUCAAGUCUGCCACAGGAGGAUAUUUUGUUCUGGGUUAACCUGCUUUUCUACUUCGCAGGUUGUUUAUCAAUAUUUGUGUAAUGUUAAUUACUCCUAGAAUUUCCGCAU
Long non-coding RNA from Hevea brasiliensis (rubber tree), 247 nucleotides. RefSeq lists it as uncharacterized. The record is from RefSeq and is a predicted model, not a curated record. The transcript has 3 exons. Lineage: Eukaryota; Viridiplantae; Streptophyta; Magnoliopsida; Malpighiales; Euphorbiaceae.